Molecule: non-coding RNA, 24 nt
Filed under: Arabidopsis thaliana (thale cress)
Lineage: Eukaryota; Viridiplantae; Streptophyta; Magnoliopsida; Brassicales; Brassicaceae
Source: RNAcentral
AAAUGUGUUUUACAUGGAUGGCUC